AGAGUUUGAUCAUGGCUCAGAAUAAACGCUGGCGGCGUGCCUAACACAUGCAAGUCGAGCGAGAAAAGGCUUCGGCCUGAUUAAAGCGGCAGACGGGUGAGUAACGCGUGGGAAUCUUCCCUUCAGUGAGGAAUAACUCUGAGAAAUUGGAGCUAAUACUGCAUACGUCCCACUGGGAGAAAGGCGGCUUUAUGCUGUCGCUGAAGGACGAGCCUGCGUACUAUCAGCUAGUUGGUGAGGUAAUGGCUCACCAAGGCUAUGACGGUUAGCCGGCCUGAGAGGGUGUACGGCCACACUGGAACUUAGACACGGUCCAGACUCCUACGGGAGGCAGCAGUGAGGAAUCUUGCACAAUGGGCGAAAGCCUGAUGCAGCGACGCCGCGUGGAGGAUGAAGGUCUUCGGAUUGUAAACUUCUGUUAAGUGGGAAGAAACGCGUAGGUAUAAUACACCUACGUAAUGACGGUACCAUUAAAGAAAGCACCGGCUAACUUCGUGCCAGCAGCCGCGGUAAUACGAAGGGUGCAAGCGUUAUUCGGAAUUAUUGGGCGUAAAGGGUGCGCAGGCGGUAUGCUAAGUCAGCUGUUUAAUUUCCCGGCCUAACUGGGAGUCAGCGGCAGAUACUGGCAUGCUUGAGGGUGGAAGAGAGAAGUGGAAUUCUCGGAGUAGCGGUAAAAUGCGUAGAUCUCGAGAGGAACACCAAUGGCGAAGGCAGCUUCUUGGUCCACACCUGACGCUCAUGCACGAAAGCGUGGGGAGCAAACAGGAUUAGAUACCCUGGUAGUCCACGCCGUAAACGAU
RNAcentral lists this ribosomal RNA (800 nucleotides) under uncultured bacterium. Its description in RNAcentral is "bacterial SSU rRNA". It matches the Rfam family "Bacterial small subunit ribosomal RNA", at positions 8 to 810 of the family's 1533-position model. The record is from RNAcentral.